GUCACUUUGGCGGAGUGGUUAACGCGCUGCCCUGCUAAUUUAGGCAGUUCCUUCGGGAGCGUAGGUUCGAAUCCUACAGGUGACG
This 85-nucleotide transfer RNA is filed under the name Thermochaetoides thermophila DSM 1495. Its description in RNAcentral is "Chaetomium thermophilum var. thermophilum DSM 1495 tRNA-Ser". It matches the Rfam family "tRNA". Rfam says of the family: Transfer RNA (tRNA) molecules are approximately 80 nucleotides in length. Their secondary structure includes four short double-helical elements and three loops (D, anti-codon, and T loops). The record is from RNAcentral. Lineage: Eukaryota; Fungi; Ascomycota; Sordariomycetes; Sordariales; Chaetomiaceae.